CAACGCGCUCCGGGGUCAGUGAGAUUCUGAACCGGCGGUAUAGUCCGCGACCCGCCUGUGAACCGCGAUCAUCAUGAUCGCGGCGCGCAGUCGGCUGAACUGGUGUGAUUCCAGUACCGACGGUGAAAGUCCGGAUGGGAGGCAGCGCGUGC
This 152-nucleotide non-coding RNA is filed under the name Frondihabitans sp. Leaf304. RNAcentral's name for it is "FMN riboswitch aptamer (RFN element)". It matches the Rfam family "FMN riboswitch aptamer (RFN element)". From Rfam's summary of the family: The RFN element is a highly conserved domain that is found frequently in the 5'-untranslated regions of prokaryotic mRNAs that encode for flavin mononucleotide (FMN) biosynthesis and transport proteins. This element is a metabolite-dependent riboswitch that directly binds FMN in the absence of proteins. In Bacillus subtilis, the riboswitch most likely controls gene expression by causing premature transcription termination within the 5' untranslated region of the ribDEAHT operon and precluding access to the ribosome-binding site of ypaA mRNA. RNAcentral also lists the same sequence under 1 other name. The record is from Rfam by way of RNAcentral. Lineage: Bacteria; Bacillati; Actinomycetota; Actinomycetes; Micrococcales; Microbacteriaceae.